Molecule: non-coding RNA, 94 nt
Organism: Pelobates cultripes (western spadefoot toad)
Lineage: Eukaryota; Metazoa; Chordata; Amphibia; Anura; Pelobatidae
Source: the annotation of a GenBank genome assembly
GUGUGUGUGUGUGUGUGUGUGUGUGUGUGUGUAUGUAUAUAUAUAUAUAUAUACAUAUAUAUAUAUAUAUACACACACACACACUCAUACACUG